CAACAACGAAGAGUUUGAUCCUGGCUCAGGAUGAACGCUAGCUACAGGCUUAACACAUGCAAGUCGAGGGGCAGCGGGGGUGGAGCUUCGGCUCCACCUGCC
Molecule: ribosomal RNA, 102 nt
Filed under: Bacteroides sp.
Lineage: Bacteria; Pseudomonadati; Bacteroidota; Bacteroidia; Bacteroidales; Bacteroidaceae
Description: partial 16S ribosomal RNA
Rfam family: Bacterial small subunit ribosomal RNA
Source: RNAcentral